Molecule: ribosomal RNA, 639 nt
Filed under: uncultured actinomycete
Lineage: Bacteria; Bacillati; Actinomycetota; Actinomycetes; Actinomycetales
Description: bacterial SSU rRNA
Rfam family: Bacterial small subunit ribosomal RNA
Source: RNAcentral
GCGGCCUAUCAGCUUGUUGGUGGGGUAACGGCCUACCAAGGCAGCGACGGGUAGCUGGUUUGAGAGAACGAUCAGCCACACUGGGACUGAGACACGGCCCAGACUCCUACGGGAGGCAGCAGUAGGGAAUCUUGCGCAAUGGGCGAAAGCCUGACGCAGCAACGCCGCGUGCGGGAUGACGGCCUUCGUGGUUGUAAACCGCUUUCAGCAGGGACGAAAAUGACGGUACCUGCAGAAGAAGCCCCGGCUAACUACGUGCCAGCAGCCGCGGUAAUACGUAGGGGGCGAGCGUUGUCCGGAAUCAUUGGGCGUAAAGAGCUCGUAGGCGGUUCAGUAAGUCGGGUGUGAAAGCUCCGAGCUCAACUCGGAGAGGCCACCCGAUACUGCUGUGACUAGAAUCCAGUAGGGGAGCGUGGAACUCCUGGUGUAGCGGUGAAAUGCGCAGAUAUCAGGAAGAACACCAGCAGCGAAGGCGGCGCUCUGGGCUGGAAUUGACGCUGAGGAGCGAAAGUGUGGGUAGCAAACAGGAUUAGAUACCCUGGUAGUCCACACCGUAAACGUUGGGCACUAGGUGUGGGGAGGAAUCAACCCUCUCUGUGCCGUAGCUAACGCAUUAAGUGCCCCGCCUGGGGAGUACGG